This 588-nucleotide unclassified non-coding RNA is filed under the name Helicoverpa zea (corn earworm). RNAcentral's name for it is "tRAF3-interacting protein 1, transcript variant X2". Lineage: Eukaryota; Metazoa; Arthropoda; Insecta; Lepidoptera; Noctuidae. The record is from RNAcentral.
UUUUAUGUUUGUCCGGGUUUGACGAAAUUCGAGAUGGCAGCCCUGCGUAUAUAGCAACUACCACGUGUUGGAGCUUAUCUCAUUUGUGUUGGCUAGAUCUUUAUGUCGAAAUAUGUUUUGAUAUCCAUAUUAAACAUGACAAUGAAGAUAAAGUGCAGUUUAGGAAACUCGUAACAACUGCUUAGCUACCUUGUCUUUGAGCAUAUUUAUAAGGAAUUUCCAUCAUUCUGAUGGUAUGGCUGACGACUGCCAUAGUGUAUCUUCUUGUAGCGUCAUUUAUCGAUAAAUUUGUGUGUGUGUUAAGUGGUAAAUCGUCAUUUUCUUCAGGUGAUUAAUCGGCAUUCUGUAUAUGCUGUCGUAUAUUUUGAGCAUCCAGACACAGCCUCAAUGAAGAUUCGCUGACACCUUUUCAUACUAAAUUAAAACAAAUAGACAGGGAUAUAGAAGAAAAGCAUGAUAAAAUAAAUGAUCUCAAGAUAUUGAUACAUAAAAAUACUUUUAGAAUUGAAAAGUUAUUGAUGAGUGGGUCUGUGCAAUAAAAUUAUGUUUGUAGAUUAAAAUUUUAAAAUAAACUUAAUCCAGUACUUA